RNAcentral lists this ribosomal RNA (253 nucleotides) under uncultured bacterium. RNAcentral's name for it is "partial 16S ribosomal RNA". It matches the Rfam family "Bacterial small subunit ribosomal RNA", at positions 524 to 776 of the family's 1533-position model. The record is from RNAcentral.
UACGGGGGGGGCAAGCGUUGUCCGGAAUCAUUGGGCGUAAAGCGCGCGUAGGCGGCCCGGUAAGUCCGCUGUAAAAGUCCAGGGCUCAACCCUGGAAAGCCGGUGGAUACUGUCGGGCUAGAGUCCGGAAGAGGCGAGUGGAAUUCCUGGUGUAGCGGUGGAAUGCGCAGAUAUCAGGAGGAACACCAAUAGCGAAGGCAGCUCGCUGGGACGUUACUGACACUGAGGCGCGAAAGCGUGGGGAGCGAACAGG